UCAGACGAUGCGUCAUGCAUAUCAAUAAGCGGAGGAAAAGAAACUAACAAGGAUUCCCUUAGUAACGGCGAGUGAAGCGGGAAGAGCUCAAAUUUGAAAUCUUCAAGGUUUUACCUUGACGAAUUGUAGUUUAAAGAAGUGUUUUCUGUUGAAGUUUUGGUAAAAGUUCUUUGGAAUAGGACAUCAUAGAGGGUGAGAAUCCCGUAUUUGACCAUUAUUUUCAGCUGUGUGAUACACUUUCAAAGAGUCGGAUUGUUUGGGAAUGCAGUCCAAAAUGGGUGGUAAAUUUCAUCUAAAGCUAAAUACUGGCGAGAGACCGAUAGCGAACAAGUACCGUGAGGGAAAGAUGAAAAGAACUUUGAAAAGAGAGUUAAACAGUACGUGAAAUUGUCAAAAGGGAAGCGUUUGACACCAGUGUUGUUUUCUCGAAAAUCAAUUAAAAAGAGUUGGAUUUUGUGUUGUAUUGGCCUUAACAGCUUGCUUCACUCUUUUCCUGCUUUUUUUAAUGCACUUUUCGUUUAACAAGUCAACAUCAGUUUCUUUUGUUGUAAAAGGGUCAUUGGAAGGUGGCUUUCUCUUCGGAGAAAGUGUUUAUAGCCUUUGAUCUCUGCAAUCGGAGAGACUGAGGUCUGCAGCGUAGAUCCUUCGGGGUUAGAUACAUUUGUGCUAAGCUACAGCUUUUCAUAGACAACUUGUUGACUAUGUUUAGUCUUGUAACUUACCCGCUUAUGCUAUUUUACCUACGCUUAGGAUGUUGAUAUGCAUGACUGAUAU
RNAcentral lists this ribosomal RNA (774 nucleotides) under uncultured Neocallimastigales. RNAcentral describes it as "partial large subunit ribosomal RNA". It matches the Rfam family "Eukaryotic large subunit ribosomal RNA", at positions 18 to 636 of the family's 3401-position model. The record is from RNAcentral. Lineage: Eukaryota; Fungi; Neocallimastigomycota; Neocallimastigomycetes; Neocallimastigales.